Molecule: ribosomal RNA, 773 nt
Filed under: Staphylococcus pseudintermedius
Lineage: Bacteria; Bacillati; Bacillota; Bacilli; Caryophanales; Staphylococcaceae
Description: partial 23S ribosomal RNA
Rfam family: Bacterial large subunit ribosomal RNA
Source: RNAcentral
ACGUUGAAAAGUGAGCGGAUGAACUGAGGGUAGCGGAGAAAUUCCAAUCGAACUUGGAGAUAGCUGGUUCUCUCCGAAAUAGCUUUAGGGCUAGCCUCAAGUGAUGAUUAUUGGAGGUAGAGCACUGUUUGGACGAGGGGCCCCUCUCGGGUUACCGAAUUCAGACAAACUCCGAAUGCCAAAUAAUUUAACUUGGGAGUCAGAAUGUGGGUGAUAAGGUCCAUAUUCGAAAGGGAAACAGCCCAGACCACCAGCUAAGGUCCCAAAAUAUAUGUUAAGUGGAAAAGGAUGUGGCGUUGCCCAGACAACUAGGAUGUUGGCUUAGAAGCAGCCAUCAUUUAAAGAGUGCGUAAUAGCUCACUAGUCGAGUGACACUGCGCCGAAAAUGUACCGGGGCUAAACAUAUUACCGAAGCUGUGGAUUGUCCUUUGGACAAUGGUAGGAGAGCGUUCUAAGGGCGUUGAAGCAUGAUCGCAAGGACAUGUGGAGCGCUUAGAAGUGAGAAUGCCGGUGUGAGUAGCGAAAGACGGGUGAGAAUCCCGUCCACCGAUUGACUAAGGUUUCCAGAGGAAGGCUCGUCCGCUCUGGGUUAGUCGGGUCCUAAGCUGAGGCCGACAGGCGUAGGCGAUGGAUAACAGGUUGAUAUUCCUGUACCACCAUUAUUCGUUUUAAGCGAUGGGGGGACGCAGUAGGAUAGGCGAAGCGUGCUGUUGGAGUGCACGUCCAAGCAGUGAGAUUGAGUGUUAGGCAAAUCCGGCACUCUUAAGAUUGAG